RNAcentral lists this ribosomal RNA (460 nucleotides) under uncultured bacterium. Its description in RNAcentral is "partial 16S ribosomal RNA". It matches the Rfam family "Bacterial small subunit ribosomal RNA", at positions 338 to 795 of the family's 1533-position model. The record is from RNAcentral.
CCUACGGGAGGCAGCAGUGAGGAAUAUUGGUCAAUGGACGAGAGUCUGAACCAGCCAAGUAGCGUGAAGGAUGACUGCCCUAUGGGUUGUAAACUUCUUUUAUAUGGGAAUAAAAUGUUCCACGUGUGGGAUUUUGUAUGUACCAUAUGAAUAAGGAUCGGCUCACUCCGUGCCAGCAGCCGCGGUAAUACGGAGGAUCCGAGCGUUAUCCGGAUUUAUUGGGGUUAAAGGGAGCGUAGGUGGAUUGUUAAGUCAGUUGUGAAAGUUUGGGGCUCAACCGUAAAAUUGCAGUUGAAACUGGCAGUCUUGAGUACAGUAGAGGUAGGCGGAAUGCGUGGUGUAGCGGUGAAAUGCUUAGAUAUCACGAAGAACUCCGAUUGCGAAGGCAGUUCACUGGACUGCAACUGACACUGAGGCUCGAAAGUGUGGGUAUCAAACAGGAUUAGAUACCCCUGUAGUC